This 77-nucleotide transfer RNA is filed under the name Desulfotomaculum sp. RNAcentral's name for it is "tRNA-His". It matches the Rfam family "tRNA". From Rfam's summary of the family: Transfer RNA (tRNA) molecules are approximately 80 nucleotides in length. Their secondary structure includes four short double-helical elements and three loops (D, anti-codon, and T loops). Lineage: Bacteria; Bacillati; Bacillota; Clostridia; Eubacteriales; Desulfotomaculaceae. The record is from RNAcentral.
GUGGAUGUAGCUCAGGUGGUUAGAGUACCAGAUUGUGGCUCUGGGGGCCGUGGGUUCGAGUCCCAUCAUCCACCCCA